GAUGAACGCUAGCGGCAGGCCUAACACAUGCAAGUCGAGGGGUAGAACACUUCGGUGUUUGAGACCGGCGCACGGGUGCGUAACGCGUAUGCAAUCUACCUUUUACAGGGGAAUAGCCCAGAGAAAUUUGGAUUAAUGCCCCAUGGUAUAUAUGCAUGGCAUCAUUUAUAUAUUAAAGUUCCAACGGUAAAAGAUGAGCAUGCGUCCCAUUAGUUAGUUGGUAAGGUAACGGCUUACCAAGACGAUGAUGGGUAGGGGUCCUGAGAGGGAGAUCCCCAACACUGGUACUGAGACACGGAACAGACUCCUACGGGAGGCAGCAGUGAUGAAUAUUGGACAAUGGGCGCAAGCCUGAUCCAGCCAUGCCGCGUGCAGGAAGAAGCAUCUAUGGUGUGUAAACUGCUUUUGUACGGGAAGAAACACUCCCUCGUGAGGGAGCUUGACGGUACCGUAAGAAUAAGGAUCGGCUAACUCCGUGCCAGCAGCCGC
This 489-nucleotide ribosomal RNA is filed under the name uncultured bacterium. RNAcentral's name for it is "bacterial SSU rRNA". It matches the Rfam family "Bacterial small subunit ribosomal RNA", at positions 28 to 518 of the family's 1533-position model. The record is from RNAcentral.